This 580-nucleotide ribosomal RNA is filed under the name uncultured Dechloromonas sp. RNAcentral's name for it is "bacterial SSU rRNA". It matches the Rfam family "Bacterial small subunit ribosomal RNA", at positions 73 to 649 of the family's 1533-position model. The record is from RNAcentral. Lineage: Bacteria; Pseudomonadati; Pseudomonadota; Betaproteobacteria; Rhodocyclales; Azonexaceae.
ACGGGCUUCGGUCUGGUGGCGAGUGGCGAACGGGUGAGUAAAGUAUCGGAACGUACCUUUCAGUGGGGGAUAACGUAGCGAAAGUUACGCUAAUACCGCAUAUUCUGUGAGCAGGAAAGCAGGGGAUCGCAAGACCUUGCGCUGAUUGAGCGGCCGAUAUCAGAUUAGCUAGUUGGUGGGGUAAAGGCCUACCAAGGCGACGAUCUGUAGCGGGUCUGAGAGGAUGAUCCGCCACACUGGAACUGAGACACGGUCCAGACUCCUACGGGAGGCAGCAGUGGGGAAUUUUGGACAAUGGGGGCAACCCUGAUCCAGCCAUGCCGCGUGAGUGAAGAAGGCCUUCGGGUUGUAAAGCUCUUUCGGCCGGGAAGAAAUCGCAUGGGCUAAUACCCCGUGUGGAUGACGGUACCGGUAUAAGAAGCACCGGCUAACUACGUGCCAGCAGCCGCGGUAAUACGUAGGGUGCGAGCGUUAAUCGGAAUUACUGGGCGUAAAGCGUGCGCAGGCGGUUUAGUAAGACAGGCGUGAAAUCCCCGGGCUCAACCUGGGAACUGCGCUUGUGACUGCUAAGCUAGAGUAC